Molecule: ribosomal RNA, 1197 nt
Filed under: uncultured organism
Description: bacterial SSU rRNA
Rfam family: Bacterial small subunit ribosomal RNA
Source: RNAcentral
GAGUAAAGAUUUCGGUCGCUUUGGGAGGAGCUCGCUUACUAUCAGCUUGUUGGUAGGGUAAUGGCCUACCAAGGCUAUGACGGUUAGGGGGUGUGAGAGCAUGACCCCCAGCAUUGGCACUGAAACACUGGCCAAACACCUACGGGUGGCUGCAGUCGAGAAUCUUCCACAAUGGGGGAAACCCUGAUGGAGCGAUGCUGCGUGCGGGAUGAAGGCCUUCGGGUUGUAAACCGCUUUUGUAGGGGACGAAAUUUUUGACGGUACCCUUUCGAAUAAGAGGUUGCUAACUCUGUGCCAGCAGCAGCGGUAAUACAGAGACCUCAAGCGUUAUCCGGAUUUACUGGGCGUAAAGCGUCUGUAGGGGGUUUAUUAAGUUCCAAGUAAAAUUUCAAGGCUCAACUUUGAAUUCGCUUGGAAAACUAAUAAACUGGAGUCUAGCAGAGGUGCAUGGAACUUGUGGUGUAGGAGUGAAAUCCGUUGAUAUCACAAGGAACACCAAAGGCGAAGGCAUUGCACUGGGCUAGCACUGACCCUGAGAGACGAAAGCGUGGGGAGCAAAACGGAUUAGAUACCCGUGUAGUCCACGCCCUAAACGAUGAAUGCUAAAUGUUCGGGGAUUCGACCCCCUGGGUGUUACAGCUAACGCGUUAAGCAUUCCGCCUGGGAAGUACGGCCGCAAGGCUAAAACUCAAAGGAAUAGACGGGGAUCCGCACAAGCGGUGGAGCGUCUGGUUUAAUUCGACAGUAAGCGUGGUACCUCACCAGGGUUUGACAUCCCUUGACAGCCUUGGAAACAAGGUUUCCUUCGGGCAAGGUGACAGGUGCUGCAUGGUCGUCGUCAGUUCGUGCCGUGAGGUGUUCCGUUAAGUCGGGAAACGAACGAAACCCCUAUUGCAUGUUACAAUUUCUCAUGCAAGACUGCCCGGAUAUACUGGGAGGAAGGUGGGGAUGACGUCAGAUCUGCAUGGUCCUUAUACCCUGGGCGACACAGGCGCUACAAUGGCAGAGACAAAGGGUUGCAAAACCGCAAGGUGAAGCUAAUCCCAAAAACUUUGUCUAAGUUCGGAUUGAAGGCUGCAGUUCGCCUUCAUGAAGCUGGAAUCGCUAGUAAUCGUGAAUCAGCCACGUCACGGUGAAUAUGUUCCCGGAUCUUGUACUCACCGCCCGUCACACCAAGAGAGUUGGUAGCUCCCGAAG